UGAACGCUGGCGGCGUGCUUAACACAUGCAAGUCGAGCGAGAAAGUCUCCUUCGGGAGGCGAGUAAAGCGGCGGACGGGUGAGUAACACGUGGAUGACCUGCCUGGAAAUGAGGAAUAACUUGGGGAAACUCGAGCUAAUACCACAUACGCUCUCAUGGCUACGGCGAUGAGAGGAAAGUUGGCCUAUACAUGUAAGCUGACGUUUCCAGAGGGGUCCGCGCCUGAUUAGCUAGUUGGUGGGGUAAAGGCCUACCAAGGCGACGAUCAGUAGCCGGCCUGAGAGGGCGAUCGGCCACACUGGGACUGAGACACGGCCCAGACUCCUACGGGAGGCAGCAGUGGGGAAUAUUGGACAAUGGGGGCAACCCUGAUCCAGCAACGCCGCGUGGAGGAUGAAGGCCUUCGGGUCGUAAACUUCUGUCAGUAGGGACGAAAAGCCGUUGGUCAAUAGCCUUCGGUCAUGACGGUACCUGCAGAGGAAGCCCCGGCUAACUCCGUG
Molecule: ribosomal RNA, 500 nt
Filed under: uncultured bacterium
Lineage: Bacteria
Description: bacterial SSU rRNA
Rfam family: Bacterial small subunit ribosomal RNA
Source: RNAcentral